Molecule: ribosomal RNA, 429 nt
Filed under: Bacteroidota bacterium
Lineage: Bacteria; Pseudomonadati; Bacteroidota
Description: Bacteroidetes bacterium partial 16S ribosomal RNA
Rfam family: Bacterial small subunit ribosomal RNA
Source: RNAcentral
UAGGGAAUCUUCGGCAAUGGGGGGAACCCUGACCGAGCAACGCCGCGUGAGUGAAGAAGGUUUUCGGAUCGUAAAGCUCUGUUGUUAAGGAAGAACGAGUGUGAGAAUGGAAAGUUCAUGCUGUGACGGUACUUAACCAGAAAGGGACGGCUAACUACGUGCCAGCAGCUGCGGUAAUACGUAGGUCCCGAGCGUUGUCCGGAUUUAUUGGGCGUAAAGCGAGCGCAGGCGGUUAGAAAAGUCUGAAGUGAAAGGCAGUGGCUCAACCAUUGUAGGCUUUGGAAACUGUUUAACUUGAGUGCAGAAGGGGAGAGUGGAAUUCCAUGUGUAGCGGUGAAAUGCGUAGAUAUAUGGAGGAACACCGGUGGCGAAAGCGGCUCUCUGGUCUGUAACUGACGCUGAGGCUCGAAAGCGUGGGGAGCGAACAGG